RNAcentral lists this ribosomal RNA (285 nucleotides) under uncultured bacterium. RNAcentral describes it as "partial 16S ribosomal RNA". It matches the Rfam family "Bacterial small subunit ribosomal RNA", at positions 335 to 636 of the family's 1533-position model. The record is from RNAcentral.
AGUCCUACGGGAGGCAGCAGUGGGGAAUAUUGCACAAUGGGGGAAACCCUGAUGCAGCGACGCCGCGUGGGCGACGAAGCGCUCCGGCGCGUAAAGCCCUGUCAGCAGGGAAGAACAAAGACAGUACCUGACCAAGAAGCCCCGGCUAACUACGUGCCAGCAGCCGCGGUAAUACGUAGGGGGCAAGCGUUAUCCGGAUUUACUGGGUGUAAGGGGUGCGUAGGUGGCAGGGCAAGUCAGAUGUGAAAGCCCGGGGCUCAACCCCGGUACUGCAUUUGAACCUGU